Non-coding RNA from Deltaproteobacteria bacterium, 131 nucleotides. The record is from Rfam. NCBI's taxonomy places the organism in Bacteria, Pseudomonadati, Myxococcota, Myxococcia.
UCGUGGGUGACUGCGAAUCUGGAAGAAGCCGCAAGCAAAACACUGGCCUGACGAACAGGAAUUGGAUUAGGCGGUGUUAUUCAAUUUCUAAACCGAAAAUUUAAUCAUCCAGUAGGGGCACGGCAUGCCGU